ACGGGGUGCAGCAGGCGCGAACACUUUACAAUGCGGGAAACCGCGAUAAGGGAACCCCGAGUGCCAGCAUCAAAUGUUGGCUGUCCAGAUGAUUAAAAAUCAUUUGUUAGCAAGGGCCGGGCAAGACCGGUGCCAGCCGCCGCGGUAACACCGGCGGCCCGAGUGGUAGCCGUUUUUAUUGGGUCUAAAGGGUCCGUAGCCGGCCUGAUAAGUCCUUUGGGAAAUCUGGCAGCUUAACUGUCAGGCUUCUAAGGGAUACUGUCAGGCUUGGGACCGGAAGAGGUAAGGGGUACUCCAGGGGUAGGAGUGAAAUCUUGUAAUCCCUGGGGGACCAUCUGUGGCGAAGGCGCCUUACCAGAACGGGUCCGACGGUGAGGGACGAAAGCUAGGGGAGCAAACCGGAUUAGAUACCCGGGUAGUCCCAGCCGUAAACGAUGCUCGCUAGGUGUCAGACACGGUGCGACCGUGUUUGGUGCCGCAGGGAAKCCGUUAAGCGAGCCACCUGGAAGUACGUCGCAAGGC
RNAcentral lists this ribosomal RNA (522 nucleotides) under uncultured archaeon. RNAcentral describes it as "bacterial SSU rRNA". It matches the Rfam family "Archaeal small subunit ribosomal RNA", at positions 325 to 849 of the family's 1478-position model. The record is from RNAcentral.